This 466-nucleotide ribosomal RNA is filed under the name uncultured Thiobacillus sp. RNAcentral's name for it is "bacterial SSU rRNA". It matches the Rfam family "Bacterial small subunit ribosomal RNA", at positions 912 to 1382 of the family's 1533-position model. Lineage: Bacteria; Pseudomonadati; Pseudomonadota; Betaproteobacteria; Nitrosomonadales; Thiobacillaceae. The record is from RNAcentral.
AGACGGGGACCCGCACAAGCGGUGGAUGAUGUGGAUUAAUUCGAUGCAACGCGAAAACCUUACCUACCCUUGACAUGUCCGGAAUCCUGCAGAGAUGCGGGAGUGCCCGAAAGGGAAUCGGAACACAGGUGCUGCAUGGCUGUCGUCAGCUCGUGUCGUGAGAUGUUGGGUUAAGUCCCGCAACGAGCGCAACCCUUAUCAUUAGUUGCUACGCAAGGGCACUCUAAUGAGACUGCCGGUGACAAACCGGAGGAAGGUGGGGAUGACGUCAAGUCCUCAUGGCCCUUAUGGGUAGGGCUUCACACGUCAUACAAUGGUCGGUACAGAGGGUUGCCAAGCCGCGAGGUGGAGCCAAUCCCAGAAAGCCGAUCGUAGUCCGGAUUGUUCUCUGCAACUCGAGAGCAUGAAGUCGGAAUCGCUAGUAAUCGCGGAUCAGCAUGUCGCGGUGAAUACGUUCCCGGGUCUU